RNAcentral lists this ribosomal RNA (724 nucleotides) under uncultured bacterium. Its description in RNAcentral is "bacterial SSU rRNA". It matches the Rfam family "Bacterial small subunit ribosomal RNA", at positions 57 to 772 of the family's 1533-position model. The record is from RNAcentral.
GCAAGUCGAGGGGCAGCAGGUCUGUAGCAAUACAGAUGCUGGCGACCGGCAAACGGGUGCGGAACACGUACAGAACCUUCCUUCGAGCGGGGAAUAGCCCAGAGAAAUUUGGAUUAAUACCCCAUAGUAUAUUAGAGUGGCAUCACUUUGAUAUUAAAGAUUUAUCACUUGAAGAUGGCUGUGCGGCUGAUUAGGUAGUUGGCGGGGUAACGGCCCACCAAGCCAGCGAUCAGUAACUGGUGUGAGAGCACGACCAGUCACACGGGCACUGAGACACGGGCCCGACUCCUACGGGAGGCAGCAGUAAGGAAUAUUGGUCAAUGGACGCAAGUCUGAACCAGCCAUGCCGCGUGGAGGAUGAAGGUCCUCUGGAUUGUAAACUUCUUUUAUAUGGGACGAAAAAAGGGUUUUCUAACUCGUCUGACGGUACCAUAUGAAUAAGCACCGGCUAACUCCGUGCCAGCAGCCGCGGUAAUACGGAGGGUGCAAGCGUUAUCCGGAUUCACUGGGUUUAAAGGGUGCGUAGGUGGGUUGGUAAGUCAGUGGUGAAAUCCCCGAGCUUAACUUGGGAACUGCCAUUGAUACUAUCAGUCUUGAAUACCGUGGAGGUUAGCGGAAUAUGUCAUGUAGCGGUGAAAUGCUUAGAUAUGACAUAGAACACCAAUUGCGAAGGCAGCUGGCUACACGAAUAUUGACACUGAGGCACGAAAGCGUGGGGAUCAAA